Molecule: long non-coding RNA, 426 nt
Organism: Clarias gariepinus (North African catfish)
Lineage: Eukaryota; Metazoa; Chordata; Actinopteri; Siluriformes; Clariidae
Exons: 3
Source: RefSeq, a predicted model, not a curated record
CAGAAAUACAAUGUCAGUGUAACAGCGUCUCGUCUCGACUGCAAUUCAAAACCCAGUGGACAGACUUACAUCAACACAGCUCCCUGUGUCCCAACGGGGGUCUCCCUCGUGAUGGACUGCACCAAAAAUGAAGCCCGUGUGUCAUGGAAUGCCAGUCAGGGGGCAGUGUACUACAGUGUCCUUGCUACAAGCAGAUACUAUAACAGUGCUUCCUGUAAUAGCUCUGGUGGCAACACCUGCAUCCUGAAGGGUCUCCCCUGUGGGGCAGCAUACGCGGUCCAGGUGGUGGCUGUUGGAAAUGAGUGCUCGAGUUCACCGAGUCAGACAGUGAACUUUAGUUCAGCUCCAUGCACACCUGUUAUUGUUUCUGCAAACCUGAACUGUAACUCCAGCUCGAUCUCAGUGAACUGGAGUUCUGGAAUGGGC